UGCAGUUAAAAAGCUCGUAGUUGGAUUUCGGAGUGGGCCAGUUGGUCCGCCGCAAGGUGUGUUACUGACUGGUUUGCUCUUCUUCGCAAAGACUGCGUGUGCUCUUGAGUGAGUGUGCGUAGGAUUUACGACGUUUACUUUGAAAAAAUUAGAGUGUUCAAAGCAGGCUAUUGCUUGAAUACAUGAGCAUGGAAUAAUGGAAUAGGACUUUGGUCCCAUUUUGUUGGUUUCUAGGGCCGAAGUAAUGAUUAAGAGGGACAAUUGGGGGUAUCCGUAUUUCGCUGUCAGAGGUGAGAUUCUUGGAUUUACGAAAGACGGACAACUGCGAAAGCACUUGCCAAGAGUGUUUUCAUUAAUCAAGAACGAAAGUUAGAGGAUCGAAGACGAUCAGAUACCGUCCUAGUUCUAACCAUAAAGGAUGUCGACUAGGGAUCAGCGGGCGUUAUCGUACGACCCCGUUGGCACCUUACGGGAAACCAAAGUUUUUGGAUUCCGGGGGAAGUAUGGUUGCAA
This 513-nucleotide ribosomal RNA is filed under the name uncultured marine eukaryote. RNAcentral describes it as "SSU rRNA". It matches the Rfam family "Eukaryotic small subunit ribosomal RNA", at positions 614 to 1134 of the family's 1831-position model. The record is from RNAcentral.